Molecule: long non-coding RNA, 3216 nt
Organism: Anolis carolinensis (green anole)
Lineage: Eukaryota; Metazoa; Chordata; Lepidosauria; Squamata; Anolidae
Exons: 2
Source: RefSeq, a predicted model, not a curated record
UGUAUAUAUUGAGAAAGAAAUAUACAGUAGAGCUACAAUGGAUUCUAAUUUAAGUAGAUUUUGGUGCUUUAUUCAAGAUUGCAUGUUUAGUACCAUUUGUGAAUAUAACCCAAUAAUUGAAAUAAGGCUGAAAAGAUUGGAAAGGAAUUUAACCUAUUUUUCCAGACAAGGCCUUGGUAUUGGCAGGAUGACGGCAUUUGGCAAAUAAAUACACCUUAGAUUAUGCCUUUUCUUCAGAUUCUGUCCUCUUUACAGAAUUGUAUAGGAUAGAUGUCGUGUCUUUCUCAGGGUUGAGGAUCCAGCUUACUUGGGUCUGCCCUUUAACCAUAUCUGAAUAUCUGGGACAAUUGAGAGAUUCUUUCCAAUUCUGGAAUUUGAUAGUUUGAAUGUCUAUAAAUGCUGAUACAUUUCUUGAUAUGUGAGCUUAGAGGCUCUCGAUAGAAGGAUAUAGAUUACAAUUAAUUUGUAGAAAGUUGAUUCAUUUCCAGGUAUUCAAUGGGAGACUAUAAAAUUCAUCUAAGUAUUCUAAUCUAAUUUUGGCUAAACCUGAAUACAGAAUUUAUAUGAGGUGAAUGGGUUUUUAAUUAUGGUUGAACUUGAUCACUGAAUUAAAAAUAUUUAUAAUACUUUCUUUACCCUCUCAGUAAAAGUGCACACAUUGUAUGUGGAAUAUCCUGGUAGUUUGUCCCAAAAGAAUUACACAUAAAAAUAUUGGAAUAGUCAUUUCUUGUGACACUGCUAAAGCUUCUUCCAGUCAUAUUGGCUUGCAUUUGGUUACACUAAGAGUUAGAAAUGAUUUUUAUUUCUUUUCCUCCCAUAAUUACAUGUUUUUGUGGAUUGUAUUAAAGAGGGAAAGAGUGAAAUACUAGCACAAUUCAUGCUUAAAAUGAAUAACUGUAUAUUUAAUUAUAUCCCAGAUCAAUAAUCCAUUUGAGGCAUAGGAGUUCCACUGCACACAUAGAGCUUCCUGCAUCUAGCACCUUUUCCAUGCAUUUUAAAAGGAAAAGAGCCUUUUCAUACUUGUAUUUUUGUAGGCAAGAACUAGCUCAAAAUGUACAAAAUUGUGUGUGUAUCAAAUUGUGUGUAUGUAUGGGGAGGGGAGUGGGGUUACAGCCCUUGUUCUCCACAAGUUGCUCCACUCUCCUUACAAAGUCUUGCAUGUUGACACCCAUAACUCUUUCUUGUGAUGAAUCUCAUUGUUUAAUUAUGUGAGUAAAUAUUUUCUCUUCCGGUCCAAAAUCUUUCACUAUUCACCUUCAGUAAGUAAGCCUGGAUUCUAGCAUUGUAAGAGAGAUCUAUUCCCUUUCUCCACAUCCUGAAUAAUUGUAUUUCUGCCUUGCAUUGUUUCCAUUGCUCUUUUGCCCCUCAUGCACCCACCCCACAGCUAAUGGAAAGUGUAAACCUUCCUCAGAGGAGAAUUAGUUUAGUUUCUUAAAUUUUUUGAAUUCCCUUCUGCUUCAUACAGUGUUUUACCCGUGGUUGUACCAUAAAUUUGUAGAAGAGCAAUCUGAAACUGGGAAUUUUAUUUUAAAAUCUGUUUCUGACUUUGUCUAACGUUGAAUUUCUCCCUUUUUACAACAUCCACACACUUAUUGAGCUAUCCACCGCAAUUCCAAGAUCGCAUUUAUGAGAACAGUUAAAAAGGAAUGGGUCACAAUACAGUUCCUGCAGGGAUUCCACUCCAUUGGGUGUACGAGUUAAAGCAGCCUUUACAUUGAAGACAAAGGAGGAAGAGUUGUUGAAGAGAAAGGAGCAAACAGCUCCCUCCUGUCAUUAAAUAUGCCUUUUAAAACAUCUUAUUGCCUGGAUGAAUGCAAUAUUCAGAUCUUUGAUUGAAUGCAUGAGCUUUUUUAUUUUAAAUGGCCAAUUAUUUGGAGAUACCAGUAAAUGUCAAAAUGAAAAUAAAUCCUAGUGCUGUUGGAGAUUUAUGGAAAUUUUUCUGUAUGGAAAUUUGAGUGCAUUUUGUUUCAUAAACUAAUAUGAUAUAGACUACCAUAAUUUCAAGCUUAUCGAAUUCAGGUUGAAUGGUAAUGUGAACUCACAUUCAUUCAGUUGUUUAUGUAUGGGUAUCACCAUAUGGAGACAGGAAAAGAUUUCAUGAUUCUGUUCAUAUAGAUAAGCUGUGUUAUAAAGCCAAGAAAAUAAAAGGAUAAGAAUAAGAUAACAUAUUCAUACCAAGUUUAUUUUCUGCUAUAAGUAUGACCGUAAGAUAUUUUCUUGGCAUGUUAUUCAUAUUCAAAACACUAGAAAAAAUCUGCUAACCUCAAUAAUGGGCAUUCUUAAAAGAGUCUGAAACAUUCUUCAUAAAGAAUAGCUUUUUACCUGAAAUGUGCAAGCUGUCUUCAGAAUGACAAAAUAACAUUUUCAAUGGCAGCAUUUCAAACUCAAGGCAAAAAGAUUUCCGAUUUCUGGCACCUGGAAAGCAAUAAUGUUUGGCACACUCGGAGCACUUACUUUGGCUUGUGUAAAGUGUCAUGGCCAGGGUUUUUAAAGAGUGUAUGUAUAUUAAUAUUAACCCUCCAUAUUUAGUUAUGUUAUCAUCCAGAAGAGUAAAACAUUGCGUUAAUUUUUAACAUGUACUUUUUUCCUCACAAAAUAGUGUAUAACAGCUUGUCUUACCAGUCAUAUUGUUACUAAUUUCACACUGAUAGAAACAAAUUCAGGAGCUACUAUAGUAACAGAAAAAACAUCUGCAAAACAUAGUUUCUAGUUCUGGUGUACAUAGUCAAAUUCUUAUGGCUUACGUUCCGGUACUUUCAGCAGAGCCAACAUUUUCAGGAAAAGUUAUUAAGAGAGUUACAUGUUUUUAGAUCCAGAAGUAGUCUCAAAACCUCAGUCUACAGCACAUCUUUCUUCAAGUUUGAAAUAAGAAUUGCAUGUUAAUUAAUGCUUCUGAAGUCAUAAUUAUAAAUAAAAAACUGAUUAUGUUUUAUAAUCAUCAACAGGCUGGGAAAAGGUUAUCUUUGGCUAAAAGCUUUGUUCAAGAAAAACAUAUUUCAAAGACUGUACAAUGGCAACAUGCUUACCCUGUUAAUCAUUUAUUUUCAGUAGUUACUUUUUUGUGAAACUUAUAUGUAUUAUUAUCUGUAUUAUAUGUUGGAUAGCUGUUCUAGGCAUGAUGUAAAUAAACACUGUAUUGUAAUUUGUUCACAUGAAAAAUAGAAUUGUAUAUAGCUAUUAAAAUAAACCUUUUUCUCAUGAGUUUAAAAGUGAAAA